Molecule: ribosomal RNA, 484 nt
Filed under: uncultured bacterium
Lineage: Bacteria
Description: partial 16S ribosomal RNA
Rfam family: Bacterial small subunit ribosomal RNA
Source: RNAcentral
AUUGAACGCUGGCGGCAGGCCUAACACAUGCAAGUCGAGCGGAUGAAGGGAGCUUGCUCCUGGAUUCAGCGGCGGACGGGUGAGUAAUGCCUAGGAAUCUGCCUGGUAGUGGGGGAUAACGUCCGGAAACGGGCGCUAAUACCGCAUACGUCCUGAGGGAGAAAGUGGGGGAUCUUCGGACCUCACGCUAUCAGAUGAGCCUAGGUCGGAUUAGCUAGUUGGUGGGGUAAAGGCCUACCAAGGCGACGAUCCGUAACUGGUCUGAGAGGAUGAUCAGUCACACUGGAACUGAGACACGGUCCAGACUCCUACGGGAGGCAGCAGUGGGGAAUAUUGGACAAUGGGCGAAAGCCUGAUCCAGCCAUGCCGCGUGUGUGAAGAAGGUCUUCGGAUUGUAAAGCACUAUAAGUUGGGAGGAAGGGCAGUAAGUUAAUACCUUGCUGUUUUGACGUUACCAACAGAAUAAGCACCGGCUAACUUUGUG